GACAGAGGGUGCAAACGUUGUUCGGAAUUACUGGGCGUAAAGCGCGUGUAGGCGGCAAUACAAGUCGGAUGUGAAAUCCCGCGGCUUAACCGUGGAAGUGCACCCGAAACUGUAUCGCUAGAGUCCCGGAGAGGAUGGUGGAAUACUUGGUGUAGAGGUGAAAUUCGUAGAUACCAAGUGGAACACCGGUGGCGAAGGCGGCCAUCUGGACGGUGACUGACGCUGAGACGCGAAAGCGUGGGUAGCAAACAGG
RNAcentral lists this ribosomal RNA (253 nucleotides) under uncultured bacterium. RNAcentral describes it as "partial 16S ribosomal RNA". It matches the Rfam family "Bacterial small subunit ribosomal RNA", at positions 524 to 776 of the family's 1533-position model. The record is from RNAcentral.